GCCCAGAGCCUGACACGGGGCUGGAUUUCAGGACCCUGAAUCACCAUCUGAGCUGAAAGUAAGAGUUGGGCGCUUAACCAGCUAUGCCACCCAGGCGC
Non-coding RNA from Callorhinus ursinus (northern fur seal), 98 nucleotides. Lineage: Eukaryota; Metazoa; Chordata; Mammalia; Carnivora; Otariidae. The record is from RefSeq and is a predicted model, not a curated record.